This 433-nucleotide ribosomal RNA is filed under the name uncultured bacterium. Its description in RNAcentral is "partial 16S ribosomal RNA". It matches the Rfam family "Bacterial small subunit ribosomal RNA", at positions 29 to 507 of the family's 1533-position model. The record is from RNAcentral.
AACGAACGCUGGCGGCAUGCCUAACACAUGCAAGUCGAACGAGACCUUCGGGUCUAGUGGCGCACGGGUGCGUAACGCGUGGGAACCUGCCCUUAGGUUCGGAAUAACUCCCCGAAAGGGGUGCUAAUACCGGAUAAUGUAUUCGGACAAAAGAUAUAUCGCCUUUGGAUGGGCCCGCGUUGGUUUAGCUAGUUGGUAGGGUAAAAGCCUACCAAGGCGACGAUCCAUAGCUGGUCUGAGAGGAUGAUCAGCCACACUGGGACUGAGACACGGCCCAGACUCCUACGGGAGGCAGCAGUGGGGAAUAUUGGACAAUGGGCGAAAGCCUGAUCCAGCAAUGCCGCGUGAGUGAUGAAGGCCUUAGGGUUGUAAAGCUCUUUUACCCGGGAUGAUAAUGACAGUACCGGGAGAAUAAGCUCCGGCUAACUCCGUG